Eriocheir sinensis (Chinese mitten crab) is the source of this 948-nucleotide long non-coding RNA. RefSeq lists it as uncharacterized. The transcript is spliced from 6 exons. The record is from RefSeq and is a predicted model, not a curated record. NCBI's taxonomy places the organism in Eukaryota, Metazoa, Arthropoda, Malacostraca, Decapoda, Varunidae.
CCGGCUUCCUCAUCACACGCUUGACGUGACGAAUUCCAGUGACAUACGCAGCUUGUCGAGAAGUGUGUUUGUUUAGCGAAAAACAAAACGCUCGGAGAUCAAAUUCCGAAUCAAAAUGGUGUCUGUGAAUGUGGACGGCAGUCUGUUCAGGGAAUCGUGGCGACGCUGUGUAUUCCCGAGCAAGGCACUGGAGAGGGAUAAUCUUCCAGAGCGCGCAGGAGGAUGUAGCCUUCAAUGACGUAACGAAACACAGAAUGCUCAGGGUGAGUGGCAAACGCAUCCCUUAUACCUCGGCAUCACGCACCUCGACGCUGAAUGAGGGCAGACAGAGAGGGAGUCUUCGCGGAGGAACUUUGUAGGCGCGGUAAAGAGCAGGGGAAGGAGAACUAAGCCGCCGCCUCCUUUGUUUGCUACCUGCGCUAAGGUGAUCCCGCUACCUCCUGUGGCCGCGGCGGCUUCAGAAUAGGAAAACGGUGGCCGAGUAUUUAACGCACGGACCAGGGCGAAAAGGGUCACAAGCUCGUCCCGCUGACUGCCUGAUUCCGUCCGCCGUCCUCGUGGCAAAAGAUAUAGGAAUGCCACCUACUUGUGCUGAGGGAGUCCAUAACAACAUGGGGCCAAGCUAAUUUACCGGAAGACUUCUUGACGUGCCUUACCAUUGUUCAGCACUACACGACCAAGAUAGGGAUGACCAGCCCCCUCUUCCAGUCAGGAGGAAUGGUACUAGAUUCCCAUCCAAAAGUCAAGACCACAUGCAACCUAAGGAUCAUGGCCUCACCUCCAUCUUUGAGCAUCUUUACACUAAUGUUACAAAUACCAGCUGCCUUUCCACAGCCUCUCUGACCUCUUCAAGAGAGGGUAAGCUUUUGUCAAUGGGUGGAUCAGCAUCCCUCAUUUGCAAUCCAACAGUUAUUAGCUGCCUGCUCAGAGGGUCUGCCAUGUACAACC